UUGAAAGGGAAACGAUUGAAGUCAGUCAUGUUGGUAGGGAAUCAACUUGAUGGUUUGCGGGUUUGCUCGUGUUCUUUCGAGUGCACUUCCUUACUUGCUAGUUAGCAUCAAUUUUGAUUAUCAUAUAAAAAUUGAGGGAAGGUGGCUUUUCUUCGGAAAAGUGUUAUAGACCUCGAGAAAUGUGGUGAUCGGGAUUGAGGAUUGCAGCGGAUACCCUUUUGGGCUAGUCACCUGGCUUCUGAUGAUUACCCCGCCUUCGAUAGCUUGCUGACGUUGGUGAGACUCGAUUGUCUAGGUGUUAGAAUGAUCAUAAAUUCGUUAAGGAUGUUGACGUA
This 335-nucleotide ribosomal RNA is filed under the name Acaulospora sp. S153. RNAcentral describes it as "LSU rRNA". Lineage: Eukaryota; Fungi; Glomeromycota; Glomeromycetes; Diversisporales; Acaulosporaceae. The record is from RNAcentral.